CGUAGUUGGAUUUCUGGUGGGGGUGUUUGGCCGGCUCAAUGAGUUUUGCGCCUAUACGUCUCCGCCAUCCUUGGGGAAAACUUGCUUGGCAUUAGGUUGUCGAGUUUGGGAUCCCCAUCGUUUACUGUGAAAAAAUUAGAGUGUUCAAAGCAGGCUUAUGCCGUUGAAUAUAUUAGCAUGGAAUAAUAAGAUAGGACUUCGGAACUAUUUUGUUGGUUUGCGUUACGAAGUAAUGA
This 236-nucleotide ribosomal RNA is filed under the name uncultured eukaryote. RNAcentral's name for it is "partial 18S ribosomal RNA". It matches the Rfam family "Eukaryotic small subunit ribosomal RNA", at positions 629 to 868 of the family's 1831-position model. The record is from RNAcentral.